CAGUGUCUUUUUCUCCCUUAUUUCACUAAAUACAACAAUGUGUAACUUCAUUGCAGUUUUCAAAUGGCUGUGUAAAGAGUAUAUAGUGCUGUCUUGAGCAUUUU
Long non-coding RNA from Salarias fasciatus (jewelled blenny), 104 nucleotides. RefSeq lists it as uncharacterized. The transcript is spliced from 3 exons. NCBI's taxonomy places the organism in Eukaryota, Metazoa, Chordata, Actinopteri, Blenniiformes, Blenniidae. The record is from RefSeq and is a predicted model, not a curated record.